This 632-nucleotide ribosomal RNA is filed under the name Myxococcus sp. RNAcentral describes it as "bacterial SSU rRNA". It matches the Rfam family "Bacterial small subunit ribosomal RNA", at positions 56 to 669 of the family's 1533-position model. Lineage: Bacteria; Pseudomonadati; Myxococcota; Myxococcia; Myxococcales; Myxococcaceae. The record is from RNAcentral.
UGCAGUCGAGCGCGAAUAGGGGCAACCCUUAGUAGAGCGGCGCACGGGUGCGUAACACGUGGAUAAUCUGCCUGAGUGCUCGGGAUAACCAGUCGAAAGAUUGGCUAAUACCGGAUAAGCCCACGGUUUCUUCGGAGACUGAGGGAAAAGGUGGCCUCUGUAUACAAGCUAUCACAUUCAGAUGAGUCCGCGGCCCAUCAGCUAGUUGGCGGGGUAAUGGCCCACCAAGGCGACGACGGGUAGCUGGUCUGAGAGGACGAUCAGCCACACUGGAACUGAGACACGGUCCAGACUCCUACGGGAGGCAGCAGUGGGGAAUUUUGCGCAAUGGGCGAAAGCCUGACGCAGCAACGCCGCGUGUGUGAUGAAGGUCUUUGGAUUGUAAAGCACUUUCGACCGGGAAGAAAACCCGUUGGCUAACAUCCAACGGCUUGACGGUACCGGGAGAAGAAGCACCGGCUAACUCUGUGCCAGCAGCCGCGGUAAUACAGAGGGUGCAAGCGUUGUUCGGAAUUAUUGGGCGUAAAGCGCGUGUAGGCGGCGUGACAAGUCGGGUGUGAAAGCCCUCAGCUCAACUGAGGAAGUGCGCCCGAAACUGUCGUGCUUGAGUGCCGGAGAGGGUGGCGGAAUUC